AUUUAAGUAGUUUAAUAAAAAUAAUGAUUUGUGGUGUCAUAGAUAUAUAGUUAUCUUAAAUU
Molecule: transfer RNA, 62 nt
Filed under: Diaphanes pectinealis
Lineage: Eukaryota; Metazoa; Arthropoda; Insecta; Coleoptera; Lampyridae
Description: tRNA-His
Source: RNAcentral